GUGCCUAAAAAUUUUACAAAGUUGUUUCUAUGGCUUAUUAAGGUAUUAACAAUGUGAUUAUGAUGAUGAUUAAAAGGCUUAUUAAGCUACUUCUAAAAAAACAUUAAUAUUGCUUGAAACAUUAAUCUACCACAUGUUGGUUAUUUUUGUAGUCUGUGAUUCGAUAGACAAAAAUGACACUUCUUCUGUUUUUUUAUCUUUGCUUUUCUUCAGUACUUCUGUCUGUGAGCCAGAGAGUGGAAGAGAGCAGCCUCCGUUACUCUGUACUUCCCCUAUCAAGGAAAAGUAGUUGCCAAGUUCUGCGCAAAAUAUCUGCACACUCAGGUGCUCAAGAAUGAAGCUUCUUCAGCUGGUGAUUUAGGUGUUUCUAUCCAAAAAUCUUUCUUCAGAAUGGAGGAGAUGAUGCGUGGGGCAGAGAGGAUGGAGGGAGUUAGCUGUAUUGGGGGAUAAGAUAAACAUGUUUACUGGUAUGAUAGAAGGCUUCAUAUGGUCUCCGAAGGCUGGUGAUUCCCAUGACCAACAAGAUGACUGGGCAUUUGAAGAGAUCUUGCCAUCUCCA
Asparagus officinalis (garden asparagus) is the source of this 559-nucleotide long non-coding RNA. RefSeq lists it as uncharacterized. The transcript is spliced from 4 exons. NCBI's taxonomy places the organism in Eukaryota, Viridiplantae, Streptophyta, Magnoliopsida, Asparagales, Asparagaceae. The record is from RefSeq and is a predicted model, not a curated record.